Molecule: ribosomal RNA, 253 nt
Filed under: uncultured bacterium
Lineage: Bacteria
Description: partial 16S ribosomal RNA
Rfam family: Bacterial small subunit ribosomal RNA
Source: RNAcentral
UACGAAGGGGGCUAGCGUUGUUCGGAAUUACUGGGCGUAAAGAGCGCGCAGGCGGUCGUUCAAGUCGCGUGUGAAAGCCCCCGGCUCAACUGGGGAGGGUCACGCGAUACUGAUCGACUCGAAGGCAGGAGAGGGAAGUGGAAUUCCCGGUGUAGUGGUGAAAUGCGUAGAUAUCGGGAGGAACACCCGUGGCGAAGGCGGCUCUCUGGGCCUGUACUGACGCUGAGGAGCGAAAGCGUGGGGAGCGAACAGG